GAGGGAGAGGGGGAGGGAGACAAAUAGAGACAGAGACAGAUCGCGAUGGAAAGAGAGCGAGGGGGAGGGGUAGGGGUCUCAGUGCCAUUGCUGUAGAUGGAUUUCACAAGUGGGAGAGUGAGGAUGGUCUAAGAAAACCAUAGGGGUCGUUAGGAUUUGAGGGAAAGGGGUAGGGGUCAUGAACAGAGACAACUGAGGGUGAUGUGUGCCUGAUCUUGCGAUGCAUGCUGGGAUUUCCAAAGGUGGUGUAGAAAUUGGAUUUACAUCAAAUUGCACUCAGAGGAGAAGCCAAAUAAGUUAUGUGCAUCAUCUGCAUCAGGCGAGUUGGCGGGAAGCAACGCUAUUCUUGAUAGUUCGAUCAACUUUCGGGCAAUGGAAAACUAGUGA
Molecule: long non-coding RNA, 387 nt
Organism: Malus domestica (apple)
Lineage: Eukaryota; Viridiplantae; Streptophyta; Magnoliopsida; Rosales; Rosaceae
Source: RefSeq, a predicted model, not a curated record